UUCAACAUCUUGUAAAUUAUAAACCUGCCC
This 30-nucleotide non-coding RNA is filed under the name Mus musculus (house mouse). RNAcentral also lists the same sequence under 1 other name. The record is from RNAcentral. Lineage: Eukaryota; Metazoa; Chordata; Mammalia; Rodentia; Muridae.